This 864-nucleotide ribosomal RNA is filed under the name uncultured archaeon. RNAcentral describes it as "SSU rRNA". It matches the Rfam family "Archaeal small subunit ribosomal RNA", at positions 474 to 1337 of the family's 1478-position model. The record is from RNAcentral.
AACCAGCACCUCAAGUGGUCAGGAUGAUUAUUGGGCCUAAAGCAUCCGUAGCCGGCUCUGUAAGUUUUCGGUUAAAUCUGUACGCUUAACGUACAGGCUGCCGGGAAUACUGCAGAGCUAGGUAGUGGGAGAGGUAGACGGUACUCGGUAGGAAGGGGUAAAAUCCUUUGAUCUAUUGAUGACCACCUGUGGCGAAGGCGGUCUACCAGAACACGUACGACGGUGAGGGAUGAAAGCUGGGGGAGCAAACCGGAUUAGAUACCCGGGUAGUCCCAGCUGUAAACUAUGCAAACUCAGUGAUGCAUUGGCUUGUGGCCAAUGCAGUGCUGCAGGGAAGCCGUUAAGUUUGCCGCCUGGGAAGUACGUACGCAAGUAUGAAACUUAAAGGAAUUGGCGGGGGAGCACCACAAGGGGUGAAGCCUGCGGUUCAAUUGGAGUCAACGCCAGAAAUCUUACCCGGAGAGACAGCAGAAUGAAGGUCAGGCUGAAGACUUUACCAGACAAGCUGAGAGGUGGUGCAUGGCCGUCGCCAGCUCGUGCCGUGAGAUGUCCUGUUAAGUCAGGUAACGAGCGAGAUCCCUGCCUCUAGUUGCCACCAUUACUCUCAGGAGUAGUGGGGCGAAUUAGCGGGACCGCCGCAGUUAAUGCGGAGGAAGGAAGGGGCCACGGCAGGUCAGUAUGCCCCGAAACUCUGGGGCCACACGCGGGCUGCAAUGGUAACGACAAUGGGUUUCGAAUUCGAAAGGAUGAGGUAAUCCUCAAACGUUACCACAGUUAUGACUGAGGGCUGCAACUCGCCCUCACGAAUAUGGAAUCCCUAGUAACUGCGUGUCACUAUCGCGCGGUGAAUACGUCCCUGCUCCC